This 873-nucleotide small RNA is filed under the name Pongo abelii (Sumatran orangutan). RNAcentral's name for it is "retained intron". Lineage: Eukaryota; Metazoa; Chordata; Mammalia; Primates; Hominidae. The record is from RNAcentral.
UCAGUGGCUGUGCAGCUUGGGUGUCCUGUCCUCGGCUUAGGGGCACAGGCUUGUGGGGGGACCUGGGCACGGCGGAGGCAUCGUGUCCUUCCUCCAGGAAGGAAGGAGCUUCCGGAGCUUUCCUGGGAGGCUCGCUGGGGCUGCGGAGAUAACCUGAGGCCCUGCAACAGGCUGGGGAGCCCAAGGACCAUCCCAGGCCUUGGAACAGUUGGUGUCUUUCAGUCGCCGCCCUGGAGAGGCAGGUGUUUGACUUCCUGGGCUACCAGUGGGCGCCCAUCCUGGCCAACUUCGUCCACAUCAUCGUCGUCAUCCUGGGACUCUUCGGCACCAUCCAGUACCGGCCGCGCUACGUCAUGGUGUACACGGUGUGGGCAGCCGUCUGGGUCACCUGGAACAUCUUCAUCAUCUGCUUCUACCUGGAAGUCGGUGGCCUCUUACAGGACAGCGAGCUACUGACCUUCAGCCUCUCCCGGCAUCGCUCCUGGUGGCGUGAGCACUGGCCGGGCUGUCUGCACGAGGAGGUGCCGGCAGUGGGCCUCGGGGCCCCCCAUGGCCAGGCCCUGGUGUCAGGUGCUGGCUGUGCCCUGGAGCCCAGCUAUGUGGAGGCCCUACACAGCGGCCUGCAGAUCCUGAUCGCGCUUCUGGGCUUUGUCUGUGGCUGCUAUGUGGUCAGCGUGUUUACGGAGGAAGAGGACAGCUGUGAGUAUGGGGCCUCCGCAGGCAGCGGGGCGGGAGACGGCUACAGAGGUGGCAGCUCUGAGUCUGUCCUGUCUGGGGCAAGGCGAGAGACCUCCCCACUUGGGAGGGACCCCACGUCCAGCAGGGCCUUGCUCACGGCUGUAGGCCUGAGCGAGGACUCGCCACACACCAGGG